Molecule: long non-coding RNA, 875 nt
Organism: Coregonus clupeaformis (lake whitefish)
Lineage: Eukaryota; Metazoa; Chordata; Actinopteri; Salmoniformes; Salmonidae
Exons: 5
Source: RefSeq, a predicted model, not a curated record
CGUUGUUGCACCAUGCUUUGGCGUCUGAUUUGUAUCUGGAUUGUCCAAAGUAGGACCAGAUUCAUUUGUUACAUUCUCUCUUUUGACUGUUUUCCAUUUGAUGUAGGCCAGCCCUGCAAACGCCCACUGGUUCACCAUGUUAUUGUGCAGUCCCUUUUUAUGUAGUGUUUCCCUUCUGUAUUUCAGUGGGUGGUGUUCCCAUCGACUAUUCCACAAAUACUUUCCCUGCCACAGGUAGGCCUCCUUUGGGGACCAGUCAUUUCGUUAUGUGAUAGUGGACAAUUCUACAAACCCCAACAAUUCGACAAACGCUACUCUCUGCCACAGGAAAAGAGAUGAACUUCAAGGUGAAAAAAGGAGACACUCAGAACCUGCCCUAUGACUACAAUACCAUCAUUCAAUACGGACCGUAUUUCUUCUCAGCAGACCGGAACCACACCAUUGUCCCCAAGAAGGGUGGAGUCCAUAUAGGACAGAACUGACCUGAGCUCCCUGGACAUAACACGCCUUAACGAACUCUACCACUGUGAAGAAACAACACACUGAUGACACCAACAGUGAAGAUUCCAGGUCGGAUAACACCGAUGUCGACUCAAGUUUCCCACCCAAGUAGCACCGCCAUCUCACUUCUCUUCACAAUGAAUAAGUUAAACAAGUGCCUCAAAGCUUUCAGAUGAUGAUGAUUAUGUACUGUCAUCUGUCUGGCUGCAGGCAGUAACGGUUGCUGCCUGCCAUUAGGCCUAUACCACUGCACUACUCUUGCUGAUAAAUACAAUUACCUGGACUGAAAUGAAUCUGUUUACUGUGAUGUUGAUUUCAACAAAGAUCUGAACAAAGUUCACCGAUAAAUACCUUUUUUUGUGUAUUUUACCAUG